ACGAACGCUGGCGGCGUGCUUCACACAUGCCAGUCGAACGGAAAGGCCCUGCUUUUGUGGGGUGCUCGCGUGGCGAACGGGUGAGUAACACGUGAGUAACCUGCCCUUGACUUUGGGAUAACUUCAGGAAACUGGGGCUAAUACCGGAUAGGAGCUCCUGCUGCAUGGUGGGGGUUGGAAAGUUUCGGCGGUUGGGGAUGGGCUCGCGGCUUAUCAGCUUGUUGGUGGGGUAGUGGCUUACCAAGGCUUUGACGGGUAGCCGGCCUGAGAGGGUGACCGGCCACAUUGGGACUGAGAUACGGCCCAGACUCCUACGGGAGGCAGCAGUGGGGAAUAUUGCACAAUGGGCGGAAGCCUGAUGCAGCAACGCCGCGUGCGGGAUGACGGCCUUCGGGUUGUAAACCGCUUUCGCCUGUGACGAAGCGUGAGUGACGGUAAUGGGUAAAGAAGCACCGGCUAACUACGUG
This 467-nucleotide ribosomal RNA is filed under the name uncultured bacterium. RNAcentral's name for it is "partial 16S ribosomal RNA". It matches the Rfam family "Bacterial small subunit ribosomal RNA", at positions 29 to 507 of the family's 1533-position model. The record is from RNAcentral.